Molecule: non-coding RNA, 165 nt
Filed under: uncultured Selenomonas sp.
Lineage: Bacteria; Bacillati; Bacillota; Negativicutes; Selenomonadales; Selenomonadaceae
Source: RNAcentral
AAGUGGAUCAGGUGUCUAUGACUUAAUAGGGAAUCCGGUAAAAGCCGGAGCGGUCCCGCCACUGUAACAGCGAGUCCGGCUGCACGAUGUCACUGGAGAGAGGGUAAGCUUUCUUUGGGAAGACGCAGCAGGGCGAUGAACUGGAGCCAGGAGAACUGCCUGAUU